AUGGGCCAUGGUGGACCACCUCCUCCCAUGGAACGUGCUGGUCAUGGUCCACCAUGUCCUCCCAUGGGUCGUCCUGCUCAUGCUCCAGUGCCUCCUCCCAUGGGUCGUGCUGAACAACCUCCUCCGAUGGGUCAUGGUGGGCCACGUGUGAGUAAUGCUUCGGCACCUCUUCCUAUGGGUAACACAACACAAGGCCAUACUAACUGCACUGAGCGGAUGUCGCCUACGAGCAACGACGAUGAGGUUGCAACUCCCAGGGAUCCGCCAAAGUCAACUACAGAAGGGAGGGCAAGGAGUAGACGCUAUCAUUCAGCUCUUGAACUGCACCUGAAAAGGAAAAACAGGUGCAGCAACUGCAACUCAGAUAAGCACAAUGCUGCUAGCUGCCCUACGAAGUUGGCAUGA
Molecule: ribosomal RNA, 405 nt
Filed under: Triticum aestivum (bread wheat)
Lineage: Eukaryota; Viridiplantae; Streptophyta; Magnoliopsida; Poales; Poaceae
Description: partial small subunit ribosomal RNA
Source: RNAcentral